This 253-nucleotide ribosomal RNA is filed under the name uncultured bacterium. RNAcentral's name for it is "partial 16S ribosomal RNA". It matches the Rfam family "Bacterial small subunit ribosomal RNA", at positions 524 to 776 of the family's 1533-position model. The record is from RNAcentral.
GACGAAGGGGGCUAGCGUUGUUCGGAAUUACUGGGCGUAAAGCGAGUGUAGGUGGUUGUCCAAGUUGGAUGUGAAAGCCUUGAGCUUAACUCAAGAAAUGCAUUCAGGACUGGGCGGCUAGAGGACCGGAGAGGAUAGUGGAAUUCCCAGUGUAGUGGUGAAAUACGUAGAGAUUGGGAAGAACACCAGUGGCGAAGGCGGCUAUCUGGACGGUUUCUGACACUAAGACUCGAAAGCGUGGGGAGCAAACAGG